RNAcentral lists this ribosomal RNA (429 nucleotides) under Gemmatimonadota bacterium. Its description in RNAcentral is "Gemmatimonadetes bacterium partial 16S ribosomal RNA". It matches the Rfam family "Bacterial small subunit ribosomal RNA", at positions 355 to 776 of the family's 1533-position model. The record is from RNAcentral. Lineage: Bacteria; Pseudomonadati; Gemmatimonadota.
UAGGGAAUCUUCGGCAAUGGACGAAAGUCUGACCGAGCAACGCCGCGUGAGUGAAGAAGGUUUUCGGAUCGUAAAACUCUGUUGUUAGAGAAGAACAAGGACGUUAGUAACUGAACGUCCCCUGACGGUAUCUAACCAGAAAGCCACGGCUAACUACGUGCCAGCAGCCGCGGUAAUACGUAGGUGGCAAGCGUUGUCCGGAUUUAUUGGGCGUAAAGCGAGCGCAGGCGGUUUCUUAAGUCUGAUGUGAAAGCCCCCGGCUCAACCGGGGAGAGUCAUUGGAAACUGGGAGACUUGAGUGCAGAAGAGGAGAGUGGAAUUCCGUGUGUAGCGGUGAAAUGCGUAGAUAUAUGGAGGAACACCAGUGGCGAAGGCGGCUCUCUGGUCUGUAACUGACGCUGAGGCUCGAAAGCGUGGGGAGCAAACAGG